CGCACGGGUGCGUAACGCGUGGGAAUCUGCCCCUCCGGUUCGGAAUAACAGUUAGAAAUGACUGCUAAUACCGGAUGAUGACGAAAGUCCAAAGAUUUAUCGCCGAGGGAUGAGCCCGCGUAGGAUUAGCUAGUUGGUGAGGUAAAAGCUCACCAAGGCGACGAUCCUUAGCUGGUCUGAGAGGAUGAUCAGCCACAUUGGGACUGAGACACGGCCCAA
RNAcentral lists this ribosomal RNA (219 nucleotides) under uncultured bacterium. RNAcentral describes it as "partial 16S ribosomal RNA". It matches the Rfam family "Bacterial small subunit ribosomal RNA", at positions 99 to 334 of the family's 1533-position model. The record is from RNAcentral.